Molecule: ribosomal RNA, 301 nt
Filed under: uncultured bacterium
Lineage: Bacteria
Description: partial 16S ribosomal RNA
Rfam family: Bacterial small subunit ribosomal RNA
Source: RNAcentral
CAGUCGCCACGGUAAUACAGAGGGUGCGAGCGUUAAUCGGAUUUACUGGGCGUAAAGCGUGCGUAGGCGGCUUCUUAAGUCGGAUGUGAAAUCACUGAGCUUAACUUAGGAAUUGCAUUCGAUACUGGGAAGCUAGAGUAUGGGAGAGGAUGGUAGAAUUCCAGGUGUAGCGGUGAAAUGCGUAGAGAUCUGGAGGAAUACCGAUGGCGAAGGCAGCCAUCUGGCCUAAUACUGACGCUGAGGUACGAAAGCAUGGGGAGCAAACAGGAUUAGAUACCCCUGUAGUCCCUGUCUCUUAUAC